UGACUNGAGUGCAGAAGGGGAGAGUGGAAUUCCAUGUGUAGCGGUGAAAUGCGUAGAUAUAUGGAGGAACACCAGUGGCGAAAGCGGCUCUCUGGUCUGUCACUGACGCUGAGGCUCGAAAGCGUGGGUAGCGAACAGGAUUAGAUACCCUGGUAGUNCACGCCGUAAACGAUGAGUGCUAGGUGUUAGGCCCUUUCCGGGGCUUAGUGCCGGAGCUAACGCAAUAAGCACUCCGCCCGGGGAGUACGACCGCAAGGUUGAAACUCAAAGGAAUUGACGGGGGCCCGCACAAGCGGUGGAGCAUGUGGUUUAAUUCGAAGCAACGCGAAGAACCUUACCAGGUCUUGACAUCCCGAUGCUAUUCUUAGAGAUAGGAAGUUACUUCGGUACAUCGGAGACAGGUGGUGCAUGGUUGUCGUCAGCUCGUGUCGUGAGAUGUUGGGUUAAGUCCCGCAACGAGCGCAACCCUUAUUGUUAGUUGCCAUCAUUAAGUUGGGCACUCUAGCGAGACUGCCGGUAAUAAACCGGAGGAAGGUGGGGAUGACGUCAAAUCAUCAUGCCCCUUAUGACCUGGGCUACACACGUGCUACAAUGGUCGGUACAAUGAGUUGCGAGCCGGUGACGGCAAGCUAAUCUCUGAAAGCCGAUCUCAGUUCGGAUUGGAGGCUGCAACUCGCCUCCAUGAAGUCGGAAUCGCUAGUAAUCGCGGAUCAGCACGCCGCGGUGAAUACGUUCCCGGGCCUUGUACACACCGCCCGUCACACCACGAGAGUUUGUAACACCCGAAGUCGGUGAGGUAACCUUUUAGGGGCCAGCCGCCUAAGGUNGGA
This 830-nucleotide ribosomal RNA is filed under the name uncultured bacterium. RNAcentral's name for it is "bacterial SSU rRNA". It matches the Rfam family "Bacterial small subunit ribosomal RNA", at positions 638 to 1467 of the family's 1533-position model. The record is from RNAcentral.